UAUAAAAUUUCGACAGCAUCUCCUUUGAAAAUUGCAUAAACGGGGGAAGCAACAAAGUAUAAAUAGAUAUCAUGAUAAGAAAACAUAUAAGACAUUAAUAAUCUGCUAGCAAUGGGAAGACAACCAUAACAACAUGAACUGAAUUAAUCAGUGCGCACGACUAGUUAAAAACAAACAUUCUUUGACAAGAAGUUUCUAAUUAAAUCAUGGCUGCGUCUGGGCAACAUUAUUAUGAGAAUGAAGGUGGAUGUGCUGCUACUUCCCACUCCCCUUGAUGAGCAACAAGCACCUGCAUUGAGUAAUGCAAGAGUGAGAUGAAACAUCUCAGCAAGCUAAUUGUUCUGACGAGAUAUUUAAACCACAAAUUGAAUUCAUCAACAUUUUAAAAGAGUCACAAUUAAAAAUUAGAAAUGCUUGUAGAUAUAGAACUCAGUAGUCCCACUAUAACCAAUACCAUCUCAUUUCCUCGAACAACCACAAUAGGUUCUAUAACACUUCCCUGCGUCAACAAUACCUGCAAAUAUCACUUCAAUGUAUGCAUAGGAAUGCAAUGUGUAGGUACUCUAUCUUCAUACCUCUGGGAGUAUAAAACCACAUCAUCUGCAAAUAUCACUUCAAUGAAUGCAUAUGAAUGCAAUGCAUAUGUCCUCUGCCUUCAUACCUCUAAGGGUAUGAAGCCGCAUCGUACCCCUUCUCGGGCAACGUACGAUGCUAAGUUGUACCGGUACGGUCGGACCAUAGGUCACGACAAAACUUCAUAUGCAAAUGAGUCAUGCAAUGUAUAUGGCAUGCUACAUUUAUCAAUAAACUUCACUUCCUUCAGAUACAACACAAACCUCAAAUAAUACUUCAUUUACCUUCAGAUACAAUACCAACCUCAAAUAAUACUUCAUUUACCUUCAGGGGUGUGAAUUAAUCUCAUGAGUCAUACUCAAAUCAUAAUCAUCAUCAAUAUAUGAUUGAGCAUCAGUAUAAUGCAAGCAAGUAAAGCAUCACCAUAGAGUCCAAUUAUGAAAGAAUCUGAUACUUCUGAAUAUUAGAGUGUAGGCGAUAGAAAUAACAGGUCAGAACGGAAGCAACCACCGCUACAUUCACUUGCCUUCAUCGAAGAAGAAGAAAUGUACUAGACAUGAUCUGGAGUGUAGCCACCUGCUAGUGGGCAUAAAACUUAGUACAAAUAUUUCACAAACAUUUGCCAUCAAUCAACAAAAUACUCCUACACUUGAAACCAAGACCCAGUGGAAAGACUCCCACCCUGAACCACAUGCCAUACAGCAGGAACGCUGUUUGUUAAUUUUGUAUCUUUAAAAUUAAAACAGCGGUGAUAUCAAACAAAUACUCUAGGAGUAUCUACACAAAAUACUCUACAACUUCAGUAUUCAAUAGAUAAUUAAAUUCUGCCAUCUACAAGUUCUAAAACAUCUGACAAGAUAACUGACUGAAUCUGUUUUAGACAGCAGUAUGGUUAACUUUAAAAUUUGAUAUCUCCAAAACUGCUGAACCAAAAAUUAUGAAAUUCUGCUGGAAGUAAGAACUUUUAUCCCUCUACAAAAGUCUCCAUAGUUGGAAGAGCCAAUUCGGCCAUUUACUAGAUGAAACCCACCAGUGAACAGACCCACUCAUUUUUGUCAGGUAAACAGGAACAGCCACAGUAAAACAAACAUAACUGGAGUUUCACAAAUCAUAUGAAUGCACUCUUUAACAAUCUGGAAAGCUUAUAAAAUUAUCUACAACUUCUUUUACCAACCCACAGUUUAAUUCUGUUGAUAAAAUUGCCUAAAUCUUAAGAGAACAGAUUCUGCACAGAAUUAUGAGACUGAAAAACUGCUAUAGUAAAACUGCAAUAACUUUCUGGUCGGAUGUCCGAUUAAGGUGUUCUUCGCGGCCACGGAAAGAUCUACAAAUUAUCUACGACUCAUACAUAGACUUUUUAUUUUUUUGAGGCCACUAAGACCACGGAAAACUGGCAUGAACAGAAACUGUCGAAUCUGCCAUUCUGCAGAAAACUAAAUUCGAGAUCAAAACCUAACCCCACAUCAAAUCCAACCUCUAAUCCUUUAAUUCCCAUGAUCCACAACCUCCAAAAGCCUAUAAUUACAGGGAGGAACAAGGAUCUCAUCCAUACCUAGGGUUUCCCCAAGAAAUCUUCAAGAGGAGAUGGGGAAGAACAUCUCCUUGAUCCUCUCUUCCUCUUCAAUUCAACGUGCCCCUCCUUUUCUCGAUCCUUGCUGCGUAGGGGGAGAUCUUGGGGGAGGAAGCAAUGGAGGAUGGCUGCCAUAGGGGGAGGGGGCGUCCAGCCAGGGGGGAGAAAAAGGGGGUGGCGGCCAAGAGGGGGGGUGAAGGGAAAAAAAAGGGGUGGCCACCUAGGGUUUUUGUGGGAGAAAGAAACGACGCCUCAGAUGACUUCUAUCUUUGCAUCCAAUGGCCCACAACCCUUUACCUCAUCCACGCACCAGAGAUUAACUUUUGGUCAACAUUUUUUUUGGGAUAUUACACUCUACCCCCCUUAAAAAGAAUUCGACCUCGAAUUCGGCCACUCCAAGCAAAACACCCAAGGUACCCCAUAUAGCACCACAAUUCAAAACAUGGGUCCAUUAUUGGUCUUAAUUAACACAAGAACUUCUACCUUGGACUAAUUGUCUAAGGAAACUACACGACCUGACAUCAAGCAUGAAACAACAUGUAAUGAAGCUCAAAGCAUGUCAUAGUUGCAAUCAACACUCCAAUUUCACACCAUCAAAUUUGGAUGCAGCUAUACAUCAACAUCAACGUCUUAAGACAACACUCUUUUAUGAAGGGGUAAUAUGCACCAAGCACAACCCUUACCAACUUCAACCAUUAAUUUUAAUUAAAUGGUGAAACAUCUACACCCGACGAAUGUAUAAGAAGAUCAAACACCUCACCUUAAAGCACUAUGAAACAAGUAGUUCCAUUGGAACAAAACUCCUAAUCUUCCUAAACCUUAUUCUUGCCAUCAUGAAAAGAUAAUCAUGUAAUCUAACAUUCCUUGCACCCCACCAAAAGGGAGAAAAUCUAUAGAACUAAUGGAGCAAUAAAGCCAAAAGAAGCCAAUAACAUCUUGUGCGGCAUAGUUCAUCGAAGAAAUGCCAAAAACUCUACAUAGAGCACUGAUAGCCCAACAACAACACAAUACUUGCUUAACCCAUGUCACUAUACUUCAUUCAACAUCUCAACUAAGAAAAAUAUCCAACUAGUAAGGAUAACCUACACAUAAUAUAAGUCUUCAUCUACUGUAGUUCAGAAACUUACAUUUCAUUCUAUCAUACGAUGCACUCAAAGUACCAGACAUACAAAGUCAAUAAUAAUAACCCCUAAUCCUUCACACAUUUGACAAACAUAUUAAGCUGAUGUAAACACCACAUGAUCUAGGAAUAGGUGACUAGCCACACCCAACCAACUCUAAGCUAGGCAAGGACUUUCUUCAAACCAAUAGAUAGGUGGUCUAAAAAAAUGGCUCCACAAGCAUGCAUCGAAAAGGGAACCAUCAGAUCCUCAAUGUAUCAAUACAUAAUCAAUGGAUCAAGAGAAUCAAAGAUUUAUUCUACAAUUAGUAUGACUAACAUGCAACCACUUUAAACCACAUCUAGGCUUUGUGGCAACUAAAACACACAAUAUGAGAGAGACAUGUAAGCCAUUCUGGCUAUGAAAAGACUUCCCCCAAAAAUCCAUAUAAAGUACCAAUAUUCAUUUCUUUCAAAACUGGUUUCUCAACAUAAACAAUCAUUCUUUGCAAUGAUAGUUGGAGCUAUCCACCAACCGCUCAACAACUUAAAUUCAAAUUGAUGAUUACCUUGUACCCCAAAACACACAAUUCACACUCCUCUUAGAAACAUCCACAAUCAAGCAUAUAUAACAAUAUUAUUGUAAUAAAACUCAACCAUGAAAAACAUGGUGAAAACAACAUAGGCAUACUUGUAUAUCACAAGCAUAAUAACAACUUCAUUCUCACCAAUGACCAGCGAUAUCUACCGCAUUAAUAAAACAAUAUCAAAAUUUCAGAAAUAAAUUAUAUCAAGCAUUAAGCCAUAAACAACUUACCACAUCACCGUAAAGGAAUAGGGAGGGGUGAAACUAUUGUCAUCUGCACUCCAAAGACAUUAAUAUAUAUCAAAGAUAUUUGAACCCAUACCCUUCCUAUAUGUGCAAGUGUGUCAAAUUUAUCUUCAAAUUGCCAAGAAUCUAAAGCCUAUGCUUUGAUACCAACUGUAACACCCCGGGAUCCACAAACACCCCAGAAUGCUACUAAACUACACAUUUAAUAUUCAUAUAUAAAAUUUCGACAGCAUCUCCUUUGAAAAUUGCAUAAACGGGGGAAGCAACAAAGUAUAAAUAGAUAUCAUGAUAAGAAAACAUAUAAGACAUUAAUAAUCUGCUAGCAAUGGGAAGACAACCAUAACAACAUGAACUGAAUUAAUCAGUGCGCACGACUAGUUAAAAACAAACAUUCUUUGACAAGAAGUUUCUAAUUAAAUCAUGGCUGCGUCUGGGCAGCAUUAUUAUGAGAAUGAAGGUGGAUGUGCUGCUACUUCCCACUCCCCUUGAUGAGCAACAAGCACCUGCAUUGAGUAAUGCAAGAGUGAGAUGAAACAUCUCAGCAAGCUAAUUGUUCUGACGAGAUAUUUAAACCACAAAUUGAAUUCAUCAACAUUUUAAAAGAGUCACAAUUAAAAAUUAGAAAUGCUUGUAGAUAUAGAACUCAGUAGUCCCACUAUAACCAAUACCAUCUCAUUUCCUCGAACAACCACAAUAGGUUCUAUAACACUUCCCUGCGUCAACAAUACCUGCAAAUAUCACUUCAAUGUAUGCAUAGGAAUGCAAUGUGUAGGUACUCUAUCUUCAUACCUCUGGGAGUAUAAAACCACAUCAUCUGCAAAUAUCACUUCAAUGAAUGCAUAUGAAUGCAAUGCAUAUGUCCUCUGCCUUCAUACCUCUAAGGGUAUGAAGCCGCAUCGUACCCCUUCUCGGGCAACGUACGAUGCUAAGUUGUACCGGUACGGUCGGACCAUAGGUCACGACAAAACUUCAUAUGCAAAUGAGUCAUGCAAUGUAUAUGGCAUG
This 5079-nucleotide long non-coding RNA is filed under the name Zea mays. Its description in RNAcentral is "long non-coding RNA (ZMAY_LNC003801)". The record is from RNAcentral. Lineage: Eukaryota; Viridiplantae; Streptophyta; Magnoliopsida; Poales; Poaceae.